UAUUUUACUGUUCAAAGGAAUCAAUUAAUUACUGCCU
Equus caballus (horse) is the source of this 37-nucleotide non-coding RNA. The record is from Rfam. Lineage: Eukaryota; Metazoa; Chordata; Mammalia; Perissodactyla; Equidae.